GUGCUCACUUCGGCAGCACAUAUACUAAAAUUGGAAUGAUACAGAGAGGAUUAGCAUGGCCCAUGCACAAGGAUGACACACAAAUUCGUGAAGCGUUCCAUAUUUUU
Molecule: small nuclear RNA, 107 nt
Filed under: Suricata suricatta (meerkat)
Lineage: Eukaryota; Metazoa; Chordata; Mammalia; Carnivora; Herpestidae
Source: RNAcentral